RNAcentral lists this ribosomal RNA (478 nucleotides) under uncultured bacterium. RNAcentral describes it as "partial 16S ribosomal RNA". It matches the Rfam family "Bacterial small subunit ribosomal RNA", at positions 28 to 507 of the family's 1533-position model. The record is from RNAcentral.
GAUGAACGCUGGCGGCGUGCUUAACACAUGCCAGUCGAACGAGAAAUGUAGACGGAAACCUUCGGGCGGAAGCCUUCAUUUCGAGUGGCGGACGGGUGAGUAACGCGUGGGUAACCUGCCUCAUACAGGGGGAUAACAGUUGGAAACGACUGUUAAUACCGCAUAAGACCACCGCAUCGCAUGAUGCGGGGGUAAAAACUCCGGUGGUAUGAGAUGGACCCGCGUUCGAUUAGCCAGUUGGCGGGGUAACGGCCCACCAAAGCGACGAUCGAUAGCCGAUCUGAGAGGAUGACCGGCCACAUUGGAACUGAGACACGGCCCAAACUCCUACGGGAGGCAGCAGUGGGGAAUAUUGCACAAUGGGGGAAACCCUGAUGCAGCGACGCCGCGUGAGUGAAGAAGUACUUCGGUAUGUAAAGCUCUAUCAGCAGGGAAGAAAAUGACGGUACCUGAGUAAGAAGCCCCGGCUAACUACGUG